CGCGGAGUAGAGCAGUGGUAGCUCGUCGGGCUCAUAACCCGGAGGUCGUAGGUUCGAAUCCUGUCUCCGCAA
Molecule: transfer RNA, 72 nt
Filed under: Bacteroidales bacterium
Lineage: Bacteria; Pseudomonadati; Bacteroidota; Bacteroidia; Bacteroidales
Description: tRNA-Met
Rfam family: tRNA
About the family: Transfer RNA (tRNA) molecules are approximately 80 nucleotides in length. Their secondary structure includes four short double-helical elements and three loops (D, anti-codon, and T loops).
Source: RNAcentral